This is an RNA transcript of Gorilla gorilla gorilla (western lowland gorilla), 4726 nucleotides long. It is a transcript of the gene named chromosome 13 C9orf85 homolog, with no coding region annotated. The record is from RefSeq and is a predicted model, not a curated record. The transcript is spliced from 5 exons. NCBI's taxonomy places the organism in Eukaryota, Metazoa, Chordata, Mammalia, Primates, Hominidae.
GGUCGGAGGCGCUCUGAGCUCCAGGAGAGGCUGAGCUCUCUCGGCAGGAGGCGGGGAUUGCGGAAAAGAAGAACCAAUAGGAACAAAGGUUCCCCGCCCCUUUGAUUUGAUGGACUACACAUUCGGGCCAAUGGGGGAAUUCUCAUUUCGAAGAAAGCGGGACUUGUUCUCCGGGUUUGAGAAAGAGGCUGCGCGGAGCCGGAGGGGUCGAGGCUGCGCCGAGUGGAGUGGCUUGGCUUAACAGCAGGGAGGGCAGAGCGAUGCUCUUUGACCUCCCAGAAGAGUCACGUGGGCUGACCCGGAGCCGGGGCGGAAAGGCUGCGUUAGUUUCUUCCGGGUCAUUGACAGAAGCGUCAAUUCCUGGGAGUAGUUCUUUGGUUUUAUUUCCCCUCAUCCUUUUGCCUGCUCCCGGCGAGGGGUGGCUUUGAUUUCGGCGAUGAGCUCCCAGAAAGGCAACGUGGCUCGUUCCAGACCUCAGAAGCACCAGAAUACGUUUAGCUUCAAAAAUGACAAGUUCGAUAAAAGUGUGCAGACCAAGAAAAUUAAUGCAAAACUUCAUGAUGGAGUAUGUCAGCGCUGUAAAGAAGUUCUUGAGUGGCGUGUAAAAUACAGCAAAUACAAACCAUUAUCAAAACCUAAAAAAUGUGUUAAAUGUUUACAAAAGACAGUGAAGGAUUCUUAUCACAUAAUGUGUAGGCCAUGUGCCUGUGAACUUGAAGUUUGUGCAAAAUGUGGAAAGAAAGAAGACAUUGUUAUUCCGUUGAAUAAAGAAACAGAAAAAAUAGAACAUACUGAAAAUAAUCUAAGUUCCAACCAUAGAAGAAGCUGCAGAAGAAAUGAAGAAAGUGAUGAUGAUUUAGAUUUUGAUAUUGAUUUAGAAGACACAGGAGGAGACCAUGAAAUGAAUUAAUAUCACUGUGUUAAAAGUCUGCCGGGCACAGUGGCUCACGCCUGUAAUCCCAACACUUUGGGAGGCCAAGGCGGGUGGAUCACCUGAGGUCAGGAGUUCGAGACCAGCCUGGCCAACAUGGCGAAACCCCAUCUCCACUAAAAGUACAAAAAAUUAGCUGGGCGUGGUGGCUCAUGCCUGUGAUCCCAGCUACUCGGGAGGCUGAGGCAGGAGGAUUGCUCGAACCCUGGAGGUGGAGAUUGAAGUGAGCUGAGUUCGUGCCAUUACACUCCAGCCUGGGUGACAGAGUGAGACUCUGUGUCAAAAAAAAUAAAAUAGAAAGUCAAUUUAGAAUGUGAAAUUCUGACCACCUUUUUUGGCUUUGAGUAUUUUCCAAAAGAUGUUUGAAAUCCUAAUGAGGAAAUCAGAAAAAGAUGGGGUCUCCCUCUGUUGCCCAGGCUGGAGUGCAGUGGCAGGAUCUUGGCUCACCACAACCUCCGCCUCCCUGGUUCAAGUGAUUCUCCUGCCUCAGCCUCUCGAGUAGCUGGGACUACAGGCGCACACCACCAUGCCCGGCUAAUCUUUGUAUUUUUAUUAGAGAUGGGGUUUCACUAUGUUGGCCAGGCCGGUCUCGAACUCCUGACCUCAUGAUCUGCCUGCCUCAACCUCCCAAAGUGCUGGAAUUACAGGUGUGAGCCAUCAUGCCUGGCCUAAUUUGUAUAUUUCUAAUGACUCAUGAUGUUGACUGAGCAUCUUUUCUUUUUUUUUUUUUUUUCCUUGUUUUUUGAGAUGGAGUCUUGCUCUAUAGCCCGGGCUGGAGUGCAGUGGUGCCAUUUCAGCUCAAUGCAACCUCUGCCUCCUAGGUUCAAGUGAUUCUCCUGCCUCAGCCUCCCGAGUAGCUGGGAUUACAGGCACACACCACCAUGCCCAGCUAAUUUUUGUAUUUUUAGUAGAAACAGGUUUUCACAAUGUUGGCCAGGAUGGUCUCCACCUACUGACCUUGUGAUCCGCCCCCCUAGGCCUCCCAAAGUGCUGGGCUUACAGGCGUGAGCCACCGCACCCAGCCGACUGAACAUCUUUUCAUGUGUUUAUUAGCCAAUCCUAUAUCUUCACUGGUGAAAUGUCUAUUCAGAUGUGUUGCCCAUUUUAAAAAUUGGGUUGUUUUCUUACCAUUGAGUUAUGAGUCUUUUAUAUAUAUUCUAGAUACAAGUCCUUUAUCAGAUAUAAUUUGGAAAUAUUUUCUCACAGUCUGUAAUGUGUUAUACAUCAAUUUUAAGAUAUCCUUCACGUUAAGAAACUAACGGUGUGGAUAAUAAUCCUGGUAUUGACAGAGGUUUGGACUCCUGAAGCCUGAAAGACUAUCUGCUGCCACGCCUGGGCACAUACUGCAUCAUUUACAAAACUGUAGAGCACCUGUUGUGUGUGCAGUUGUGAUUUCUUAUAGAUUUUUAGAAUUGGAAGGCAUGUAAAGAACACAUAAUCUCUGGUACAUUGCCUCAGUAGGUAAGUCAGUAUGAACUUCUAAGAAUUUUUGUUUUCUUCUGUAUUGGGUCUAUUGUGGGUAUGUCCAACGUGACAGGGGAGGUAAGGGAAGUGGCAUCCCCUAAGAUAGUGACUGAAAUGGCUUUCAUCAUCUUUAAGUCAAAGUGAGAUGCCAGUAAUAGGAUAUAUGUAUGUAUGUACUUGUGUCUCUGUAUGUAUGUAAAUAAACAAACAUGCUGGAAGGAGGAGGUGAUUCAAUCAGGGACUUUGUGAAAGAAAAAAAGAAUAACUGGACCUUCUUUUAAUGAUGAAAACUGUUUAUACAGCAAACCAUCAAAGCCAAAAUGUGAAUUUUGGUAUUAGCCCGAUUUUUCCUAAGAAACUGUUGAUGUAACCACUGUAGUUGCAGAGAUUGUUUUGGUAUAUUCUAGACCCUCUUUGUUUUGUUCUGUUUGGGGUUUCUUCCCCCUCAAGUUGCUCUUGUCCACCGCUAGACUGGCUGCCUUUUAUUCCAUAGCAGACAGUCCUUAAGUCUUUGCAUAUGUCCUUAUUCAAAAAUUAAUCUUCAUCAAUUUUUUUCUGCAGAAAACAGUUUUUUAAAUAUCUUACAUGAGAAUGCUCUGCACCUGCAAUCUCUGGUUGAUGCAGUUUCCUUUCUCUCUUCUCUGUUCCCAUUGGUAGAAUAAAUCAGUUCCUUCUUAAAUCCUGAGCUGAAAAUGUCCACACUUCCCAGAAGUGUACUUUAGAAUCACCUGUAACAUGUAUUUAAAAUACAGAUUCCCCAGCUCCACGGGCAAAGCUCUCCUGCCAUGUGACACCCUGAUACAGUUCAAGGAGCCACUAAGGCAGGCCAAAAUGGCUCAGCAGGCAAAGGUCCAAGCUGCCAGGGUAUUGUGCCAUUACAGCAUGCUUAGCAUAGCUUGGAGGACAGGCUCACACCCAGCCCCACAGCUGUUGCGCUACAGACUCAGGCACAGGGCUGUCUAACUGGCAGAUGUGGGCCACAACUGUUGGAGACAAGCCAGCCAUAUUUGGGAAAAUCUUAUUGUAAGGGGCAAGUGUGAGUGAGAUUUAGGAGUCAUGGGAAAAUAUAGCAACACAGUAAAUCUUGUGUUAUAGGAGAGAUGUGGAAGAAAGAGAUAAACUACUGGCCAGGGUGUCUCCUGACUGGGUGACUUGCCACCACAUGGGCCAGGCAUGUUGCGGCAGCUCUGCCUUUGGGAGGUGGCUGGAGGAGGGGAGGAGAGAGAGGCAUGAUGAAGACAGAUGCACCCUUUCCUGAGCAGGGGUUAACAUUCAGGGUGCCGAAAGGAAUUCCACAGCCUGUUUCCCAUCUCUCUUGUCCUCAUCAAGUACUGGUCCUCGUGUAUGUGUUCUGCUUCCGCUUUCUCAGGAUGUUUACGUUUUUGCAAAUACAUUUAUGGAAAAGAGUUAGCUCACCCACCUCUCCAAACAUCUAUUUGUUUUACAUUUUUAUUGCGGGGGAGUGAUCUGUUAACAUAGCUUCAAAUGGCAUAACAUUCAGCAGUAUCCAAGCUUAGAUAUAUCUGAUGAGAGGAAAGUAAUUGUGAGGCCUUUGUUCUAGUUACAACUUUGUCACUACCUGACUCCAUGACUCCAGCAAAUUGCUUCAACUGUCUGGCCUGCAGUUUUUUUCUUGCGUUAAAUAACAGACUUAGUCUAGAUCAGUGGUUCUUAUCAUGUGGUUUCUGGACUAGCAGCAUCAAUAUUACCUGGGAAACUUGUUAGAAAUGCAAAUUCUUGGGCUCUGCCCUAGACCUACUGAAACAUACUCUGUGGGCGGGGCCCAGCAAUCUGUGUUUGAAACGCGAUUCUGAUUAUUUGACAAAAGUUUGCAAACCACUGGUCUAGAUAAGUAGCUCUUAGCCUUGGCUGCACAUUAAAAUCAUCUGGGCAACUUUUAUAACCUACCAAUCCUGGCCUCUUCCUCCAAAGAUUCUGACUUAAGUGGUUUCAGAUGGGGACCAUUGUUAUGUGGUUAUAGCCGACGUCUAGGUGCUAUCUGAGGUCUUCAAAACUAAAGGUCAGUGUUUCCCAGCCGUAAAUGCAUACCUCUAGACCUGGCCUUCUCAAGCCACUAGGUGUUGCUAUAAUAGAGAAGAAAAGGCAUUUUCAGAACCGUCUCUGGAUAUGGAUGAGGAGGAGGAAAAUGUAUUUCUUAGCUUCUGAUAAGAGAUUAUUUUGUUAUUUUAAUCUGAGUGCAAUUUGCUAAAUAUUCAUUUGCAACUUGUUAAAUUUAUUCAAAGAAAUUAAAUGCCCAUAAAUGACAGAAAGAAUAAAGAAUUGUGAUAUAUAUUUACAAUAAAAUACUCUUUAGCAAUAAAAAGAAAUAAA